UACGUAGGGGGCGAGCGUUGUCCGGAGUUACUGGGCGUAAAGCGCUUGUAGGCGGUCCACCAAGUUUGGGGUGACAGUUGCCGACUUAAUCGGCAAAGUGCCUCAAAGACUGGCGGACUUGAGGGCCACAGAGGGACAUGGAACUCCAGGUGUAGUGGUGAAAUGCGUAGAUAUCUGGAAGAACACCAAAGGCGAAGGCAGUGUCCUGGGUGGUCGCUGACGCUGAGAGGCGAAAGCCAGGGGAGCGAACGGGAUUAGAUGACCCUA
RNAcentral lists this ribosomal RNA (267 nucleotides) under uncultured bacterium. Its description in RNAcentral is "partial 16S ribosomal RNA". It matches the Rfam family "Bacterial small subunit ribosomal RNA", at positions 524 to 790 of the family's 1533-position model. The record is from RNAcentral.